UGAGUGUUCAAAAUUAGGCCACCUUCUUCCAGUAGUGAUAGUAGUAGUUGGAGUUUGUUGUUUUUAUGUGUAUGUAGAAUUGGGUGGUGUGCGUGUGUUUAUCUUUACUUUUUAGUUUGCUAAUUUGUCUAUGCACAUGUAUAAUUGCUGUAGAAUUGGAUGAUUGUAGUUGAUGUUUGUUAAGGCGUUGUUGGUUUACUCCAGAGAAUAAUUUUGUAGUAGCGACGAUUUGGGGUUCAUUUACCUGUUGUGUUCUAUGAUUCUGUAUGUGUUUCUGUUAUGUAGCUUUCCCUUUAACCGGAAAAACCAUAAUUCUGUAUUUUUGGAAUUUUUAUAUACUUUUUUCUUUGG
This 351-nucleotide unclassified non-coding RNA is filed under the name Hevea brasiliensis (rubber tree). The record is from RNAcentral. Lineage: Eukaryota; Viridiplantae; Streptophyta; Magnoliopsida; Malpighiales; Euphorbiaceae.